Molecule: ribosomal RNA, 2048 nt
Filed under: gut metagenome
Description: bacterial LSU rRNA
Rfam family: Bacterial large subunit ribosomal RNA
Source: RNAcentral
GAAAGUAAUAAAGAGCGUAUGGGGGAUGCCUAGGCUCUUGGAGGCGAAGAAGGACGUGGUAAGCUGCGAAAAGUCGCGGGGAUUUGCAAACGAGAAUUGAUCCGCGAAUAUCCGAAUGGGACAACCCGGCAGGCAGAAGGCCUGUCACCCAGCAAUGGGGGCUAACCCUCUGAACUGAAACAUCUAAGUAGGAGGAGGAGAAGAAAGAAACAUCGAUUUCCAAAGUAGCGGCGAGCGAAAUGGAAGGAGCCCAAACCGGUAUUGUUACGGCAAUGCCGGGGUUAUAGGACUGCGAGAUUCGAAGGACAAAGAACUGGAAAGAUUUGGAAAAGUCGACCAUAGAGAGUGAAAGUCUCGUACAGGUAAUUGAGUUCAAAGAUAGCAGUAUCCUGAGUAUGGCGGGACACGAGGAAUCCAGUCAGAAUUCGCCGGGACCACCCGGUAAGGCUAAAUACUCCCAAGAGACCGAUAGUGAACCAGUACUGUGAAGGAAAGGUGAAAAGAACCCCGAAUAGGGGAGUGAAAAAGAACCUGAAACCAUACGCUUACAACCUGUCGGAGCGGCUUCGUGCCGUGACGGCGUGCCUAUUGAAUAAUGAGCCUACGAGUUACUAAUCACUGGCGAGGUUAAGUGCUAGGAAGCACGGAGCCGAAGCGAAAGCGAGUCUGAACAGGGCGUUUAGUCAGUGGUUGUAGACGCGAAACCUUGCGAUCUACCCUUGAGCAGGAUGAAGGUUGGGUAAAGCCAACUGGAGGUCCGAACGAAUAAGCGUUGAAAAGCUUCUCGAUGACUUGAGGGUAGGAGUGAAAGGCCAAUCAAGCUGGGAAAUAGCUCGUACUCCCCGAAAUGCCUUUAGGGGCAGCGUUGUAAUAAAGAGUCUACUGGAGGUAGAGCUACUGAUUGGAUGCGGGGGCUUCACCGCCUACCAAAUCCCGACAAACUCCGAAUGCCAGUAGUAUGAUUUACAGCAGUGAGCCACCGGGUGCUAAUGUCCGGUGACAAAAGAGGAACAACUCAGACCAGCAACUAAGGUCCCCAAGCGUAUGCUAAGUUGAACUAACGAUGUUUUGUUGCAUAGACAGCUAGGAUGUUAGCUUGGAAGCAGCUAUUCAUUCAAAGAGUGCGUAACAGCUCACUAGUCGAGCGACAAAGCGUGGAUAAUAAACGGGCAUCAAGCAUACCACCGAAGUUCUGGGCGCGAAAGCGCGGUAGGGGAGCAUUCCAUUCAGCGUUGAAGCAGCGUCGUGAGAUGUUGUGGAGCGUAUGGAAAAGCAAAUGUAGGCAUGAGUAACGAUAAUGCGGGAGAGUAACCCGCACACCGCAAGACCAAGGUUUCCUGAUCAACGCUAAUCGGAUCAGGGUUAGUCGGGUCCUAAGGGUAAGCCGAACGGCGAUCUCGAUGGAUAAUCGGUUAAUAUUCCGAUACUGACAUAUACCUCGAUGGAGAGACGAAAUCGCGUAAGUACCGCCUCCUGACGGAAUAGGAGGUUAAAGGGCGUAUGUAUAGGGGCAGAUUAAGAGUCAGUCCUUGCUGAAACCCGACAGUACAGAGAGCCUACGGGCAAUUUGAUAGUGUACCCAAGCAUGUUUCCGAGAAAAUCUUCUAAGUUAUAGUAUAUGUCACCCGUACCGUAAACCGACACAGGUGGUCGAGGAGAGUAUCCUAAGGUGCUCGAGUGAAUCACGGUUAAGGAACUAGGCAAAUUAACCCCGUAACUUCGGGAAAAGGGGUCCCUACGCGAGUAGGGCGCAGCGAAGAGGUCCAGGCGACUGUUUAUCAAAAACACAGGGCUCUGCAAAUUCGAAAGAAGAAGUAUAGGGCCUGACACCUGCCCGGUGCUGGAAGGUUAAGAGGGGAUGUCAUCGCAAGAGAAGCAUUGAAUCGAAGCCCCAGUAAACGGCGGCCGUAACUAUAACGGUCCUAAGGUAGCGAAAUUCCUUGUCGGGUAAGUUCCGACCUGCACGAAUGGUGUAACGAUCUGGACACUGUCUCAACCGUGAGCUCGGUGAAAUUGUAGUCCCGGUGAAGAUGCCGGGUACCCGCAAC